UAGUCCUAGCUGUAAACGAUGGAUACUAGAUGUAGGAUAUCAUAUAUUCUGUGUCGAAGCUAACGCGUUAAGUAUCCCGCCUGGGGAGUACGACCGCAAGGUUGAAACUUAAAGGAAUUGACGGGGACCCGCACAAGCGGUGGAGCAUGUGGUUUAAUUCGACGCUACGCGAGAAACCUUACCAGAUCUUGACAUUAUUAGGAAGAGUGUAGAAAUAUGCUCGUCUCUUCGGAGACCUUUUAACAGGUGGUGCAUGGCCGUCGUCAGCUCGUGCCGUGAGGUGUUAGAUUAAGUUCUGCAACGAGCGCAACCCCCGCGUAUAGUUACCAGCAUUAAGUUGGGGACUCUAUACGGACAGCCUACGAUGAGUAGGAGGAAGGUGGGGAUGAGGUCAGGUCAUCAUGCCCCUUACGCCCAGGGCUACACACGUGCUACAAUGGUGCAUACAGAGGGUCGCGACAUAGCAAUAUGAAGCCAAUCUCAAAAAGUGCAU
This 493-nucleotide ribosomal RNA is filed under the name uncultured bacterium. RNAcentral describes it as "bacterial SSU rRNA". It matches the Rfam family "Bacterial small subunit ribosomal RNA", at positions 791 to 1286 of the family's 1533-position model. The record is from RNAcentral.